AGAGUUGAUCAUGGCUCAGGAUGAACGCUGGCGGCGUGCCUAACACAUGCAAGUCGAACGAAGCACCUCUGGUUGAGAUUCGUCAAGAACUGGAUUUGACUUAGUGGCGGACGGGUGAGUAAUGUAUGAGCAACCUGCCUUUCAGAGGGGGACAACAGUUGGAAACGACUGCUAAUACCGCAUAAUGUAUUUUGGGGGCAUCCCCGAGAUACCAAAGGAGCAAUCCGCUGAAAGAUGGGCUCAUAUCUGAUUAGUUAGUUGGCAGGGUAACGGCCUACCAAGACUGCGAUCAGUAGCCGGACUGAGAGGUUGAACGGCCACAUUGGGACUGAGAUACGGCCCAGACUCCUACGGGAGGCAGCAGUGGGGAAUGUUGGGCAAUGGGCGAAAGCCUCGACCCAGCAACGCCGCGUGAAGGAAGAAGGUCUUCGGAUUGUAAACUUCUUUUAUGAGGGACGAAGGACGUGACGGUACCUCAUGAAUAAGCCACGGCUAACUACGUGCCAGCAGCCGC
This 514-nucleotide ribosomal RNA is filed under the name uncultured bacterium. RNAcentral's name for it is "bacterial SSU rRNA". It matches the Rfam family "Bacterial small subunit ribosomal RNA", at positions 8 to 518 of the family's 1533-position model. The record is from RNAcentral.